UGUCACUUUCUUGUUCUUGGAGGAAGACAAGAGUAUCUUCCACCAUUUCCAAGUUUGCCUCAUGUUCUUGGAGAAAUACAACAUAAUCGUCCAGAAUUGCACUUCUCCUCUCUCUAGUGGAUCUCCUUAAUGGCACUUCAGGUUCUUGAGGUUGUUGAGUUUGAUUUUCAUUAAUGAUAUUAGGAACUUAAUUAGGGAGAUUAUCA
This 206-nucleotide long non-coding RNA is filed under the name Nicotiana benthamiana. Its description in RNAcentral is "long non-coding RNA (NBEN_LNC005300)". Lineage: Eukaryota; Viridiplantae; Streptophyta; Magnoliopsida; Solanales; Solanaceae. The record is from RNAcentral.